GGAGGAAAAGAAACCAACAGGGAUUGCCUCAGUAACGGCGAGUGAAGCGGCAAAAGCUCAAAUUUGAAAUCCCCCCGGGGAGUUGUAAUUUGAAGAUUGCGUCUUGGAGGCGACCGUGUCUAUGUUCCUUGGAACAGGACGUCACAGAGGGUGAGAAUCCCGUGCGGCACGGCCCCCGGCUCCUUAUAAGGCGCUCUCGACGAGUCGAGUUGUUUGGGAAUGCAGCUCAGAGUGGGUGGUAGAUUCCAUCUAAAGCUAAAUACAGGCGAGAGACCGAUAGCGAACAAGCACAGCGACGGAAAGAUGAAAAGCACCCCGAAAAGAGAGCGAAACAGCACGCGAAAUCGUUGAAAGGGAAGGGCAUGCCGUCAGAUUGUCAGUGUGGGUAAGAAGCGGGGUACAAAGACUGUGGAACGUGGCCCUCGGGUGUUAUAGCCGCAGUUCAUGCCCCGUCUCUUUCCGAGGCCUGCUUUGAGGACACCGACGUAAUGACGGUACGCCGCCCGUCUUGAACC
Molecule: ribosomal RNA, 515 nt
Filed under: Kodamaea ohmeri
Lineage: Eukaryota; Fungi; Ascomycota; Pichiomycetes; Serinales; Debaryomycetaceae
Description: eukaryotic LSU rRNA
Rfam family: Eukaryotic large subunit ribosomal RNA
Source: RNAcentral